This 241-nucleotide long non-coding RNA is filed under the name Mytilus galloprovincialis (Mediterranean mussel). Lineage: Eukaryota; Metazoa; Mollusca; Bivalvia; Mytilida; Mytilidae. The record is from RNAcentral.
AAUUAUUCUGCUAUAAAUCCUAAACAUAUAGUUAACCAUACUUGUUACAAAUUAUAAAAUACAAAGUCAGUAACAGAAUACAGAGUACAUCUGCAUUGAGCUCUAUUUCUUAAUAAUAUUAUCAAUGCUUGACCAUUUUUCUUUUAAUCUUAUUGCUUUACUGGUAGAGCACAAGUUCAUAGAGACCAUGUCAACCCUAUAAUAAUAGUUUAGCCAUUCAAUUGCUUCAGCAACAGAUGGG